CUGAUGGAAGCGAUUGCAGACCAUCAAUUUAUAAACCUGUCAGUGGAGAAUAAAAUGCCCCUGCGCGAGGACCCCGGGGAGAAUGAACCGGGGGGCGAUGCGGGGGCAACAGCCCGGCCUCAGCGAGGUCCCCGCGGGAGGGCCUUCCGCGUCCCGGAGCACGAUGACCGCGGGAAACCCAGGCCGGGCACAGUUCUGGCCCGCCAGGGUUAGCCCGCCCAAGGGUGGCGUACGCCUUCGAUGAGGGCGGGAGUUACCGGCGGGCCAUAUUCUC
Molecule: small nucleolar RNA, 274 nt
Filed under: Thermococcus kodakarensis KOD1
Lineage: Archaea; Methanobacteriati; Methanobacteriota; Thermococci; Thermococcales; Thermococcaceae
Description: HgcG RNA (Pab40)
Rfam family: HgcG RNA (Pab40)
About the family: The HgcG ncRNA gene was identified computationally in AT-rich hyperthermophiles. The genes were named hgcA through hgcG ("high GC").
Source: Rfam by way of RNAcentral